This 33-nucleotide transfer RNA is filed under the name Diphasiastrum wightianum. RNAcentral describes it as "partial transfer RNA-Leu". Lineage: Eukaryota; Viridiplantae; Streptophyta; Lycopodiopsida; Lycopodiales; Lycopodiaceae. The record is from RNAcentral.
GACUUAAAAUUCGUUGGCUUUAUAAACCGUGAG